AAGUCGUAGCAAGGUUUCCGUAGGUGAACCUGCGGAAGAAUCAUUAACACGUAUCCAACGCAAAAAACACCCCUGUGAACAUUCAAACCUACUCUCGUGGCCCAGUGCGUCUAGCAAUUCCGUAAAUCAUUGUCGAACAGUAUUGAUUCGGGACUUCUGACAAAUGAGAAGUUACAGUUACGAUCGAGCGGAGAUAGCUGCAUGGCAUUCCCAGCAAUCAGUGGCAUUGAUUGUCGAUGGGGAUCUCACCUCAACCAUUGCCGAGAGUCGCUCACCGACCGGCAGACAUGCACCCGGGUCCACGUCCCUUUAUAACCCCAUUACCUCUGUGAGUCUACGGGAAACGCUCAAAAAACUCGAACAACUUAGCAUUAAGCGUUAGCAUUGGAUAUCUGAGUUCUC
Molecule: unclassified non-coding RNA, 402 nt
Filed under: fungal sp.
Lineage: Eukaryota; Fungi
Description: partial internal transcribed spacer region
Rfam family: Eukaryotic small subunit ribosomal RNA (bases 1-46)
Source: RNAcentral